AUUGAACGCUGGCGGCAGGCCUAACACAUGCAAGUCGAACGAGUGGCGGACGGGUGAGUAAUGUCUGGGAAACUGCCUGAGGGAGGGGGAAAACUACGGGAAACGGUAGCUAAUACCGAAUACCAUCGGAGGUGCCCAGAUGGGUUUAGCUAGUAGGGGGGGGAAAGGCUCACCUAGGCGACGAUCCCUAGCUGUUCUGAGAGGAUUGCCAGCCACACUGGACCUGAGCCACGGUCCAGACGCCGCCGGGAGUCAGCAGUGGGGAUUAUUGCACUAUGGGCGCAAGCCUGAUACAGCCAUGCCGCGUGUAUGAAGAAGGCCUUCGGGUUGUAAAGUACUUUCAGAUGGGAGGCGUUACCCGCAGAAGAAGCACCGGCUAACUCCGUGCCAGCAGCCGCGGUAAUAC
This 406-nucleotide ribosomal RNA is filed under the name uncultured bacterium. Its description in RNAcentral is "partial 16S ribosomal RNA". It matches the Rfam family "Bacterial small subunit ribosomal RNA", at positions 30 to 526 of the family's 1533-position model. The record is from RNAcentral.